This 445-nucleotide ribosomal RNA is filed under the name uncultured bacterium. Its description in RNAcentral is "bacterial SSU rRNA". It matches the Rfam family "Bacterial small subunit ribosomal RNA", at positions 338 to 795 of the family's 1533-position model. The record is from RNAcentral.
CCUACGGGUGGCAGCAGUGGGGAAUAUUGCGCAAUGGGCGAAAGCCUGACGCAGCAACGCCGCGUGAGGGAUGACGGCCUUCGGGUUGUAAACCUCUUUCAGCAGGGAAGAAGCGAAAGUGACGGUACCUGCAGAAGAAGCACCGGCUAACUACGUGCCAGCAGCCGCGGUAAUACGUAGGGUGCAAGCGUUGUCCGGAUUUAUUGGGCGUAAAGAGCUCGUAGGCGGUUAGUCACGUCGGAUGUGAAAAUCCGGAGCUUAACUCCGGACCUGCAUUCGAUACGGGCUGACUCGAGUGUUGUAGGGGAGACUGGAACUCCUGGUGUAGCGGUGAAAUGCGCAGAUAUCAGGAAGAACACCGAUGGCGAAGGCAGGUCUCUGGGCAACGACUGACGCUGAGGAGCGAAAGCGUGGGGAGCAAACAGGAUUAGAUACCCCAGUAGUC